Molecule: ribosomal RNA, 292 nt
Filed under: uncultured bacterium
Lineage: Bacteria
Description: partial 16S ribosomal RNA
Rfam family: Bacterial small subunit ribosomal RNA
Source: RNAcentral
GUGUCAGCCGCCGCGGUAAAACGUAGGAGACAAACGUUAUCCGGAGUUACUGGGCGUAAAGGGCGUGCAGGUGGUCAUUUAAGUUCGGCGUGAAAGCUCCUGGCUAAACCGGGAGAGGUCGUCGGAGACUGGAUGGCUAGAGGGUGAUAGAGGCGGGUGGAAUUCCGGGUGUAGUGGUGAAAUGCGUAGAGAUCCGGAGGAACACCAGUGGCGAAGGCGACCCGCUGGGUCACACCUGACACUGAGACGCGACAGCAUGGGGAGCGAACGGGAUUAGAUACCCGCGUAGUCC